AUGGCUAUAGCUCAGUGGUAGAGUGCAUGCUUAGCAUGCACAAGGUCCUGGGUUCAAUUCCCAGUACCUCUG
This 72-nucleotide transfer RNA is filed under the name Camelus bactrianus (Bactrian camel). It matches the Rfam family "tRNA". Rfam says of the family: Transfer RNA (tRNA) molecules are approximately 80 nucleotides in length. RNAcentral also lists the same sequence under 2 other names. The record is from Rfam by way of RNAcentral. Lineage: Eukaryota; Metazoa; Chordata; Mammalia; Artiodactyla; Camelidae.